RNAcentral lists this ribosomal RNA (254 nucleotides) under uncultured bacterium. RNAcentral's name for it is "partial 16S ribosomal RNA". It matches the Rfam family "Bacterial small subunit ribosomal RNA", at positions 524 to 776 of the family's 1533-position model. The record is from RNAcentral.
CACGUAGGGUGCGGGCGUUGUCCGGAAUUAUUGGGCGUAAAGAGCUCGUAGGCGGUGUGUCGCGUCGGCCGUGAAAACCUGGGGCUUAACUCUGGGCCUGCGGUCGAUACGGGCAUCACUGGAGUUCGGCAGGGGAGACUGGAAUUCCUGGUGUAGCGGUGAAAUGCGCAGAUAUCAGGAGGAACACCGGUGGCGAAGGCGGGUCUCUGGGCCGAUACUGACGCUGAGGAGCGAAAGCGUGGGGAGCGAACAGG